RNAcentral lists this ribosomal RNA (235 nucleotides) under uncultured Lactobacillus sp. Its description in RNAcentral is "partial 16S ribosomal RNA". It matches the Rfam family "Bacterial small subunit ribosomal RNA", at positions 127 to 355 of the family's 1533-position model. The record is from RNAcentral. Lineage: Bacteria; Bacillati; Bacillota; Bacilli; Lactobacillales; Lactobacillaceae.
UGCCCAAGAGAUCGGGAUAACACCUGGAAACAGAUGCUGAUACCGGAUAAUAACAGAUGAUGCCUAUCAACUGUUUAAAAGAUGGUUCUGCUAUCACUCUUGGAUGGACCUGCGGUGCAUUAGCUAGUUGGUAGGGUAACGGCCUACCAAGGCGAUGAUGCAUAGCCGAGUUGAGAGACUGAUCGGCCACAUUGGGACUGAGACACGGCCCAAACUCCUACGGGAGGCAGCAGCC